This 194-nucleotide ribosomal RNA is filed under the name uncultured eukaryote. RNAcentral describes it as "partial 18S ribosomal RNA". It matches the Rfam family "Eukaryotic small subunit ribosomal RNA", at positions 1 to 193 of the family's 1831-position model. The record is from RNAcentral.
UGAACCUGGUUGAUCCUGCCAGUAGUCAUAUGCUUGUCUCAAAGAUUAAGCCAUGCAUGUCUAAGUAUAAGCUUUUAUACGGUGAAACUGCGAAUGGCUCAUUAUAUCAGUUAUAAUUUACUUGAUCGUAAAUAGUUAGUUGGAUAACUGUGGUAAUUCUAGAGCUAAUACAUGCGUCAAAGCCCGACCUCUGG